Solanum lycopersicum (tomato) is the source of this 722-nucleotide non-coding RNA. The record is from RefSeq and is a predicted model, not a curated record. NCBI's taxonomy places the organism in Eukaryota, Viridiplantae, Streptophyta, Magnoliopsida, Solanales, Solanaceae.
UCUCAAUGCAUAAGACCGAUAACUGUCUGCAGAGUUCGGUAGCAAUUUCAGUAUGAAGAAGCCUAGGAGAAACCGCAAGAGCUUGGAGAAAAUGCAUAGCAACCUGCCACUCAUCCCCUUGGAGUUUUCUAACAACAGAGAGCCUUGAUGUUCUCUCUUGACUCCAUUUUGCUUGAAGUGCUGCUUCUAUACUCUCUAUCCCCCAAUAAAGAUUUGACAAUAUCGACUGCUCCGAAAACUCAAGGUACCCUCUAUUACUACAAACAUCAAGCUUGGAACUGCAUUUCAAUUUCAAUGAUUUCCAAGAUUUUGUAUCUGCUAGCAAUGCAGUUAUGUGCUGAUUUAUAACUACAACGACUUUGCGUACCGACUCGAGGUCUAGUUUAUCAUCAUCAUAUGAAAAUACUGGAGGAGUGGAAGAAGAGAGAGUAGCCAUUGAAUUAUGUGACAUUUUGGCCUCAUGAAGAAGAAGAAGAAAUAGUGUUUUACAGAUAAGUGUAGUAGAGUGGCUUUUUCUGUAUUCUUUGCUCGUGAUUGUUGCCAAAUUCUGCGUCUUUUAGGGGACCCUAUGCUACAGACAAAGAUAUGGCCGUUGCCCCCAUUAAUGGAGGGAAAGUUUUACAUUAUAGAAAUAAAAAGACAAAUGUUUGAGGUUAUUGUCUUUACUCAGUAAACUUGAAUUGUGUGGAUUGAUUUUGAUUCAUAUAGUUAAUGCCAACUAA